RNAcentral lists this ribosomal RNA (559 nucleotides) under uncultured bacterium. Its description in RNAcentral is "bacterial SSU rRNA". It matches the Rfam family "Bacterial small subunit ribosomal RNA", at positions 777 to 1335 of the family's 1533-position model. The record is from RNAcentral.
AAUAGAUACCCGGGUAGUCCAUGCCGUAAACGUUGGGCACUAGGUGUGGGGGACAUUCCACGUUUUCCGCGCCGUAGCUAACGCAUUAAGUGCCCCGCCUGGGGAGUACGGCCGCAAGGCUAAAACUCAAAGGAAUUGACGGGGGCCCGCACAAGCGGCGGAGCAUGCGGAUUAAUUCGAUGCAACGCGAAGAACCUUACCAAGGCUUGACAUGGACCGGACCGCCGCAGAAAUGUGGUUUCCCCUUUGGGGCCGGUUUACAGGUGGUGCAUGGUUGUCGUCAGCUCGUGUCGUGAGAUGUUGGGUUAAGUCCCGCAACGAGCGCAACCCUCGUUCUAUGUUGCCAGCGGUUCGGCCGGGGACUCAUAGGAGACUGCCGGGGUCAACUCGGAGGAAGGUGGGGACGACGUCAAAUCAUCAUGCCCCUUAUGUCUUGGGCUUCACGCAUGCUACAAUGGCCGGUACAAAGGGUUGCGAUACUGUGAGGUGGAGCUAAUCCCAAAAGCCGGUCUCAGUUCGGAUUGGGGUCUGCAACUCGACCCCAUGAAGUCGGAGUCGC